This is a long non-coding RNA of Bos taurus (domestic cattle), 1114 nucleotides long. The record is from Ensembl. Lineage: Eukaryota; Metazoa; Chordata; Mammalia; Artiodactyla; Bovidae.
UGGGUGGCUUAGAAACAAAGUUAGGCUUCCAAGUCCGAGAUCAGGGUGCCAGUGCAGUGAGGGCCCUCUGCCAGGCACUAAUCCCAUUCUUGAGAGUUACACCCUUAUGACUUAAGCACUCCCAAAGGCCAUACCUCGAGAACUUCAGUGUGAGCUCCAGGGAGGGGGCACGCUAACAUUGAGAUCAUAGCAAAACAGGAAUACAAAAACAAGAGGUUAAAAAACUCAAAGUAGGAUACAUCCAAAGAAGCCCACACCAAGAUUUAAUCAAAUCAUGAAAAGUCAAAGAAUCUUAAAAGCAGCAAGAGAAGAAAUAAGUGCAAAAAUCGUCAAGAAAAUAAUAGCAAACAGAAUUCACCAGCACAUUAAAACAAUGAUAAAUGAUGACCAAGUGAGAUUUAUUCCAGAAAAGCACAAAUAGCUCAAUGGAAGAAAAGUCAGUCUCUGUAAUACACCAUGUUUCCAGAGAGAUGGGGGGAACCCCAUGUGGUCAUCUCUGACAAUCCUCAAGACCCUUUCAAUAGUAAAAACAUUCAACAAACUAGGACUAGAAGGAAACUAAACAAAAUGAAGAUCAUCCAUGAAAAGGCCACAAGUGUGAUACCAUUCAUUUUCAAUGAUGAAAGACUGAAGAGAUCAGGAACCAAAAAAUGGAUGUCUGCUUUCACCACUUUGAACAAAAUACUAGAAGUCCUAGCCAGAACAGACAAGAAAAGGCAAAGUUAUCAGAUCUCACUUCACACACAACAUGAUCUGAUACGUAGAAAGUCCUAACAGAUCACACACACACACUUGUUAGAACAAAUAAAGUGACAGGAUACAGAGUCAACACAAAAAUUGUUUUUGUAUACUAAGGAAUAAAUUUAACCAAGGAGGCAAAGCUAGUGGAGGGGAUGGAAUUCCAGUUGAGCUAUUUCAAAUCCUGAAAGACGAUGCUGUGAAAGUGCUGUACUCAAUGUGCCAGCAAUUUUGGAAAACUCAGCAGUGGCCACGGGACUUAAGCUGUGGUACAUAUACACAAUGGAGUAUUACUCAGCCAUUAAAAAGAAUACAUUUGAAUCAGUUCUAAUGAGGUGGAUGAAACUGGAGCCUAUUAUACAGAGUGAAGUAAGCC